AUUGAACGCUGGCGGCAGGCCUAACACAUGCAAGUCGAGCGGAUGAAGGGAGCUUGCUCCUGGAUUCAGCGGCGGACGGGUGAGUAAUGCCUAGGAAUCUGCCUUGUAGUGGGGGAUAACGUCCGGAAACGGGCGCUAAUACCGCAUACGUCCUGAGGGAGAAAGUGGGGGAUCUUCGGACCUCACGCUAUCAGAUGAGCCUAGGUCGGAUUAGCUAGUUGGUGGGGUAAAGGCCUACCAAGGCGACGAUCCGUAACUGGUCUGAGAGGAUGAUCAGUCACACUGGAACUGAGACACGGUCCAGACUCCUACGGGAGGCAGCAGUGGGGAAUAUUGGACAAUGGGCGAAAGCCUGAUCCAGCCAUGCCGCGUGUGUGAAGAAGGUCUUCGGAUUGUAAAGCACUUUAAGUUGGGAGGAAGGGCAGUAAGUUAAUACAUUGCUGUUUUGACGUUACCAACAGAAUAAGCACCGGCUAACUUCGUG
Molecule: ribosomal RNA, 484 nt
Filed under: uncultured bacterium
Lineage: Bacteria
Description: partial 16S ribosomal RNA
Rfam family: Bacterial small subunit ribosomal RNA
Source: RNAcentral